GGCCUACCAUGGUGGUAACGGGUAACGGGGUGUUAGGGCACGACACCGGAGAGGGAGCCUGAGAAACGGCUACCACAUCCAAGGAUGGCAGCAGGCGCGCAAAUUACCCAAUCCCGACACGGGGAGGUAGUGACAAUAAAUAACAAUACGGGGUCCUUUCGGGUUUCGUAAUUGGAAUGAGUACAAUUUAAAUCUCUUAACGAGGAACAAUUGGAGGGCAAGUCUGGUGCCAGCAGCCGCGGUAAUUCCAGCUCCAAUAGCGUAUAUUAAAGUUGUUGCAGUUAAAAAGCUCGUAGUUGAAUUUCGGGAUUAGUACGCUGGUCGUGCCUUCGGUACGUACUGGUGUUACUGAUUCCUACCUUCUGACGAACCAUCAUGUCAUUAAUUUGGUGUGGCGGGGAAUCAGGACUGUUACUUUGAAAAAAUUAGAGUGUUUAAAGCAGGCUCGCGCUUGAAUACAUUAGCAUGGAAUAAUGAGAUAGGACGUUGAUCCUAUUUUGUUGGUUUCUAGGAUUGACGUAAUGAUUAAUAGGGAUAGUUGGGGGCAUUAGUAUUCAAUUGUCAGAGGUGAAAUUCUUGGAUUUAUUGAAGACUAACUACUGCGAAAGCAUUUGCCAAGGAUGUUUUCAUUAAUCAAGAACGAAAGUUAGGGGAUCGAAGACGAUCAGAUACCGUCGUAGUCUUAACCAUAAACUAUGCCGACUAGGGAUCGGAUGAUGUUAAUUUUUAAUGACUCAUUCGGCGCCUUACG
This 751-nucleotide ribosomal RNA is filed under the name uncultured Glomeromycotina. RNAcentral's name for it is "SSU rRNA". It matches the Rfam family "Eukaryotic small subunit ribosomal RNA", at positions 338 to 1092 of the family's 1831-position model. The record is from RNAcentral. Lineage: Eukaryota; Fungi; Glomeromycota.